Long non-coding RNA from Humulus lupulus (European hop), 403 nucleotides. RefSeq lists it as uncharacterized. NCBI's taxonomy places the organism in Eukaryota, Viridiplantae, Streptophyta, Magnoliopsida, Rosales, Cannabaceae. The record is from RefSeq and is a predicted model, not a curated record. The transcript is spliced from 3 exons.
UCCAGUUUAUAAGUACUGCCUUGUAUCAGUAUCUAACAUAUUAACUUCAACAUGCCAAAAUGAGGUUUCUGCCAGUUUAGUCAUGGUGCAUUUGAUUGAGAAAUUAGCUGCUGGUGAUACUGGAAGUUUAUCUGUAUCAAUACUUCAGAAGAUGAGCACCAUGUCUAAAAAGGUAUAUUGAGAUGAUUUCUUUGGAGCAAUUCUUGACAACAUUUGUAGUUGAGGCCUUUAGAAUGGAAGAAUGUAUUUCACUAAUUUUUGUAUACAUUUCUUGUUUUGUAUUUAGUGAUAAAGGAAUCUGAAUUGGGCAUAAAUUAUGUUGUAAUAUGAUUUCUUAAGCCUAGACUAGUAGACUAAAUAUUGUAAUUACAUUUGAGUAAUUAAUAAAAAUCUAUUUAUGUUA